GAUGAACGCUGGCGGCGUGCUUAACACAUGCAAGUCGAACGAAGCAUUUAAGACAGAUUACUUCGGUUUGAAGUCUUUUAUGACUGAGUGGCGGACGGGUGAGUAACGCGUGGGUAACCUGCCUCAUACAGGGGGAUAGCAGCUGGAAACGGCUGGUAAUACCGCAUAAGCGCACAGUACCACAUGGUACAGUGUGAAAAACUCCGGUGGUAUGAGAUGGACCCGCGUCUGAUUAGCUUGUUGGCGGGGUAACGGCCCACCAAGGCGACGAUCAGUAGCCGGACUGAGAGGGUGACCGGCCACAUUGGGACUGAGACACGGCCCAGACUCCUACGGGAGGCAGCAGUGGGGAAUAUUGCACAAUGGAGGAAACUCUGAUGCAGCGACGCCGCGUGAGUGAAGAAGUAGUUCGCUAUGUAAAGCUCUAUCAGCAGGGAAGAUAGUGACGGUACCUGACUAAGAAGCUCCGGCUAAUACGUG
Molecule: ribosomal RNA, 480 nt
Filed under: uncultured bacterium
Lineage: Bacteria
Description: partial 16S ribosomal RNA
Rfam family: Bacterial small subunit ribosomal RNA
Source: RNAcentral